Molecule: non-coding RNA, 21 nt
Filed under: Rattus norvegicus (Norway rat)
Lineage: Eukaryota; Metazoa; Chordata; Mammalia; Rodentia; Muridae
Source: RNAcentral
GUUUAGGAUGGCCUCGGAUUA